CAUUACAACAGCCAUAGUUUAUUGGAUGUUUACGUUCCUACAUGGACACCUGCGGUAAUUCUGGAGCUAAUACAUGCACAAGCCGACGACCUUACGGAAGUCGCGCAUUUGUUAGAUCAAACCAAUCGGUCCUCCGGGACCGUAAUUUGAUGACUCUGAACAACUUAGCUGACCGCACAGUCUCGUACUGGCGGCAUAUCUUUCAAGUGUCUGCCUUAUCAACUUUCGUUGGUAGUUUAUACGACUACCAAGGUUGUAACGGGUAACGGAGAAUAAGGGUUCGACUCCGGAGAGGGAGCCUGAGAAACGGCUACCACAUCCAAGGAAGGCAGCAGGCGCGCAAAUUACCCACUCGCAGAACGCGGAGGUAGUGACGAAAAAUAACGAGGUGGCUCUCUAUGAGGUCCAUCAUCGGAAUGGGUACAAUUUAAAUCCUUUAACGAGGAUCUAUUGGAGGGCAAGUCUGGUGCCAGCAGCCGCGGUAAUUCCAGCUCCAAUAGCGUAUACUAAAGUUGUUGCGGUUAAAAAGCUCGUAGUUGGAUCUGCGCUCUGUGAGAGCGGUCGCUCGCUGAGUUGUACUGUCUCUCACGGGCUAACCAUUCGGUUUUCCCUUGAUGCUCUUCAUUGAGUGUCCUGGGUGACCGAAACGUUUACUUUGAAAAAAUUAGAGUGCUCAAAGCAGGCGAUUUGCCCGAAUAUUCGUGCAUGGAAUAAUAAAAGAGGUCCUUGUAGCCUUUUAUUGGUUAUCGCUACGAGGAAAUGAUCGAAGGGGACAGACGGGGGCAUUUGUAUUGCGACGUUAGAGGUGAAAUUCUUGGAUCGUCGCAAGACAAACUACUGCGAAAGCAUUUGCCAAGAAUGUUUUCAUCAAUCAAGAACGAAAGUCUGAGGUUCGACAGCGAUCAG
Molecule: ribosomal RNA, 906 nt
Filed under: Trichodorus obtusus
Lineage: Eukaryota; Metazoa; Nematoda; Enoplea; Triplonchida; Trichodoridae
Description: SSU rRNA
Rfam family: Eukaryotic small subunit ribosomal RNA
Source: RNAcentral